UUGAAAAAGAAAAAAAUAUAUAAACAAACCCACAGAAGAAGAGAUCAGGUUUAUGGUUACCAGGGGUGGGAGUGGGAGGUAAUAAUGGGGGUAGAUGAGCUGGGGGAGGAGGGAUUGGAUGAAGCCAGUCAAAAGGUGAUACAAACUUCCAGUAAUGAGAUAAAUAAGUACUACAGAUGUAAUGGACAACAUGAGACAUACAGUUAGCACCACUGUAUGUUUUAUAUGAAACUUGUCAAGAGAGUAAAUCCUAAGAGCCCUCAUUACAAACAAUUUUUUUUUAUUUCUCUAAUUUGUAUCGAGAUGAGAUGACGCAUGCUCACUAAACAUGUGAUAAUCAUUUCAUGAUGGAUAUAAGUCAAAUCAUUAUGCUGUGGUACCUUAAAGUUACAGAGUGCUAUAGUUCAAUUAUAUCAAUAAAACUGGAAGAUAGAUCAAUAAAUAAGUAAAUUGUCUCUGCUAGGUACGUGGGAGAAGUCUUAAAAGGUUCACAAUUACUAGAUGAG
Molecule: non-coding RNA, 506 nt
Organism: Sus scrofa (pig)
Lineage: Eukaryota; Metazoa; Chordata; Mammalia; Artiodactyla; Suidae
Source: RefSeq, a predicted model, not a curated record